UCUUCCCUCAGCCCUCCCUGCAGAGGGCGCAUCCCCUGGCAGGGGUUCCUUCUCACAGGUGAGGGGAGGACUCCUUGGGCCUCAGUUUUAACUUUCUGGAACCCACCCACUACUGCCAUGCUCACUGUUGAAGCCAUGCUGUCCAAUGCCACAAAGGGGAAGGAGGUUCUUCUACUCACUCACAAUCUGCCCCAUGAUCUUAUUGGCUAUAACUGGUACAAAGGGGAAAGGGUGGAGGCCAACCACCAUAUUACAGGAUAUGUAAUAGGAACUCUAAUAACUACCCCCAGGGCCUGCCCACAGCAUUCAAGGGACAAUAUACCCCAAUGCAUCCCUGCUGAUUCAGAAUGUCACCCAGGACACAGGAUUCUACACCCUACACGCCAUAAAGAUAAACCCUGAGAAAGAAGAAGUAUCUGGCCAGUUCCAUGUAUACUGAG
This 440-nucleotide long non-coding RNA is filed under the name Homo sapiens (human). RNAcentral's name for it is "non-protein coding lnc-CEACAM1-1:2". The record is from RNAcentral. Lineage: Eukaryota; Metazoa; Chordata; Mammalia; Primates; Hominidae.